This 254-nucleotide ribosomal RNA is filed under the name uncultured bacterium. RNAcentral's name for it is "partial 16S ribosomal RNA". It matches the Rfam family "Bacterial small subunit ribosomal RNA", at positions 796 to 1041 of the family's 1533-position model. The record is from RNAcentral.
CUAACCAUAAACGGUGUACACUUGGUGUGCGAGGAAUUGUCCCUUUGCGCGCCGCAGCUAACGCGAUAAGUGUACCGCCUGGGGAGUACGGUCGCAAGAUUAAAACUCAAAGGAAUUGACGGGGACCCGCACAAGCGGUGGAGCAUGUGGCUUAAUUCGAUGCAACGCGAAGAACCUUACCUGGACUUGACAUGCAAGUAGUAGGAACCUGAAAGGGGGACGAUCCGUAGCAAUACGGAAGCUUGCACAGGUGC